AACGAACGCUGGCGGCAUGCCUAACACAUGCAAGUCGAACGAGACCUUCGGGUCUAGUGGCGCACGGGUGCGUAACGCGUGGGAAUCUGCCCUUCGGUUGGGAAUAACUGAGAGAAAUUUCAGCUAAUACCUCAUAAUGUCUUCGGACCAAAGAUUUAUCGCCGAGGGAUGAGCCCGCGUAGGAUUAGGUAGUUGGUGGGGUAAUGGCCUACCAAGCCGACGAUCCUUAGCUGGUCUGAGAGGAUGAUCAGCCACACUGGGACUGAGACACGGCCCAGACUCCUACGGGAGGCAGCAGUGGGGAAUAUUGGACAAUGGGCGAAAGCCUGAUCCAGCAAUGCCGCGUGAGUGAUGAAGGCCUUAGGGUUGUAAAGCUCUUUUACCCGGGAUGAUAAUGACAGUACCGGGAGAAUAAGCUCCGGCUAACUCCGUG
Molecule: ribosomal RNA, 433 nt
Filed under: uncultured bacterium
Lineage: Bacteria
Description: partial 16S ribosomal RNA
Rfam family: Bacterial small subunit ribosomal RNA
Source: RNAcentral